Molecule: ribosomal RNA, 497 nt
Filed under: uncultured bacterium
Lineage: Bacteria
Description: partial 16S ribosomal RNA
Rfam family: Bacterial small subunit ribosomal RNA
Source: RNAcentral
GAUGAACGCUGGCGGCGUGCCUAAUACAUGCAAGUCGAGCGAACAGACGAGGAGCUUGCUCCUCUGACGUUAGCGGCGGACGGGUGAGUAACACGUGGAUAACCUACCUAUAAGACUGGGAUAACUUCGGGAAACCGGAGCUAAUACCGGAUAAUAUAUUGAACCGCAUGGUUCAAUAGUGAAAGACGGUUUUGCUGUCACUUAUAGAUGGAUCCGCGCCGCAUUAGCUAGUUGGUAAGGUAACGGCUUACCAAGGCAACGAUGUGUAGCCGACCUGAGAGGGUGAUCGGCCACACUGGAACUGAGACACGGUCCAGACGCCUACGGGAGGCAGCAGUAGGGAAUCUUCCGCAAUGGGCGAAAGCAUGACGGAGCAACGCCGCGUGAGUGAUGAAGGUCUUCGGAUCGUAAAACUCUGUUAUUAGGGAAGAACAAAUGUGUAAGUAACUAUGCACGUCUUGACGGUACCUAAUCAGAAAGCCACGGCUAACUACGUG